CGCUCAGGCCCUUGUUGCCGAACGCCGUGAUGAGGGUGGCGAGGUCGGAGGCCGGCGACGGGAGGUCGCUGUUCGCCAGGCUCUGGCUCGCCGUCGUCGAGUCGCGCCGGCCGAGCGGCACCGCCCAGGUUGGCCCUCCGAGCUGUGCAGUAUUGAUCGUGUUAGAUUUCGCUCAGCGUGAGUGCAUUGUGUACUUUGAUAGUACACGUUGGCCUGUGUCUAUAUAUGCACGUGUGUUUGUGCAGUGUACCAGGAAGGUGCUGUCUCGGGCGGCGAGGGCGACGAUGUCGGCGCAGGAGACGACGCCGGGGCAGAGGAGCUCGACGUUGGCCUUGAUCUGGUCGAUGACCUCGUAGCCGCGGACGGAGUUGACGUUGG
This 378-nucleotide long non-coding RNA is filed under the name Setaria italica (foxtail millet). Its description in RNAcentral is "long non-coding RNA (SITA_LNC000048)". The record is from RNAcentral. Lineage: Eukaryota; Viridiplantae; Streptophyta; Magnoliopsida; Poales; Poaceae.